UUGUACACUUUUCAGUGAAAGAGUUUGAUUAUUCUUUUGUUUUGUUCACGUGAAUAAAAGAUAUUUCUUUUUCUUUAUAUAGCAUUCUGGAAAACUUGAUAUAAGAUACCGAGUGAUAAUACCACCAGCGGCGUAAGGCUGUAAUAAUUGAAUACAUAGUGCAUCCCUGGCCAGUUGACGAAUCUCUACUUAAUUCCGGAUAUUAUAUCGACAAUAAACGACGCAGAACCAGCACAAGCCAAUUUUCGCUGGCAGUCCAACGACAAGCCGUCAGGUGGUUUACAUCAGCUCCCGACAGAUAGACGGUACACGAUUUUUUUUUCGUACGGCAACGGUCAUUUCUUGGGACAGGUCGAAGGAAAUUAUUGAUACGUACUGGAAGCGUAGAAAUAAUGGCGCAUCGAAACCAACUCAAGAUUCAUAAGGACAACCUACACCGGCAAAGGCCAAACAUCUUCAUUACGAAACUCAACUCAAAUGAGACAGCGAGUGAUAUGCGAGUGGAAACCGGAGAAAACCAGGAGAGUGGCGAAGGCGAUAUGAACGUGCUUCCGAAGGGGAGAAUCCUAGGUGGUAAACGAAAACGUGAGGCUGCUGACACAGAAGCACAGCACCUGAGAAGAUCCAAACGAAAAAAGAAGGCGACUCGCCGAGAGGAUUAUCAUUAUGAAUAAGUUCUGAAAUUUCAAUUUAUCUAUAAGUCUACAGUGAAUUUAAAGCUUAUUUUUGAAUGAAAAUGUUUGUAAUGUUUGACGAAUGUCAACUUAGUAAUAUUAACAAUUGAACUAAAGAGGGAAGAAUUGUCAUAGCCCUCGCGCACCCUGCGCAUUCGAAAACCGAUGUUCGCUCUGAAUGUCAUAAGUCGUGUAGCCUUCGGGCAAUCGAAUUGUAUUUGAUCGGUUACCUGUCUGAAAACUGAAUACAUGCUUUUUAGUCUAGUUUGAGACGUCGACCUAAACAGUUGUUUUUCACCUCACCACAAGAAGGAAAACCCCGUAUAACUUGAUGUC
This is an RNA transcript of Armigeres subalbatus, 1010 nucleotides long. RefSeq lists it as uncharacterized. The record is from RefSeq and is a predicted model, not a curated record. The transcript has 2 exons. Lineage: Eukaryota; Metazoa; Arthropoda; Insecta; Diptera; Culicidae.